Molecule: long non-coding RNA, 685 nt
Organism: Octopus sinensis (East Asian common octopus)
Lineage: Eukaryota; Metazoa; Mollusca; Cephalopoda; Octopoda; Octopodidae
Exons: 3
Source: RefSeq, a predicted model, not a curated record
UAUCACAGAUCAAUCCGUGAUGAAUGUAACAUGGCCCACAAUGAGCGUACCGUGUUAUUCCGAAUCAGCGAUGAACGAAUGAUUAAUAAAUGAGACUAUAUUCUCGCCUCCUUCGCUUCGUCACUGAAAUACAAUCCACUCACAUGAAUGAUUCAGAACAGAUGAUAUGGUAUAAAUAGACGACGACUGUAGCAUCACAAGUUGAUGAUAAACAUUAAAACAUUCGUAUAAAACAGCCAUCAUCAAACAAUCAACAAAUACAAGCGCUGAGAGGCGCUGAGGGGCGCUGAGGUGCGCUGAGGAGCGCUGAGGGGCGCUGAGGGGCGUUAAUAGACAGACGAAGCUCAAGGGAAUGCCAAAGAGGAGGAGCAAAACUAUGCGACAAAAAAAAAUGUUUAUGUUUACAUAUCGCCAAUGAUUAGAGGAAUGAGGCAUAAAGACAAGCAUUACCCAGGGCUGAAAAAAAAAUCUACAGAAUAUGAAAGGCAAAAUACGACUAGAGAACCAACCGACCAACAAACCAACAUUCAUAUCGGUUAUUAUUUAGUAGAGAUUAUCUCACCUUCUAUAAUUUAUUUCAUACUACGAUUUUCCUUCUUUUUUCUUUUUCGUUAUUUUUUUCAUUUAUUAAAUCGUGUGUAGAAUGUAUCAUAGAUUAAAACAGGUCAGUAAAUUAAUUAUAUCA